This 238-nucleotide ribosomal RNA is filed under the name uncultured Glomeromycotina. RNAcentral describes it as "partial 18S ribosomal RNA". The stretch from base 40 to 238 matches the Rfam family "Eukaryotic small subunit ribosomal RNA", at positions 686 to 887 of the family's 1831-position model. Lineage: Eukaryota; Fungi; Glomeromycota. The record is from RNAcentral.
GGUGCAGUAGGUUGGUCAUGCCACUGGUAUGUACCGGUCUCACUGAUUCCUCCUUCCUGAUGAACUGUAAUGCCAUUAAUUUGGUGUUGCAGGGAAUCUGGACUGUUACUUUGAAAAAUUAGAGUGUUUAAAGCAGGCUAACGCCUGAAUACAUUAGCAUGGAAUAAUGAAAUAGGACGUUCGAUCCUAUUUUGUUGGUUUCUAGGAUUGACGUAAUGAUUAAUAGGGAUAGUUGGGC